AGUGAACGCUGGCGGUAGGCCUAACACAUGCAAGUCGAACGGCAGCACAGUAAGAGCUUGCUCUUACGGUUGGCGAGUGGCGGACGGGUGAGGAAUACAUCGGAAUCUACUUUUUCGUGGGGGAUAACGUAGGGAAACUUACGCUAAUACCGCAUACGACCUACGGGCGAAAGCAGGGGAUCUUCGGACCUUGCGCGAUUGAAUGAGCCGAUGUCGGAUUGGCUAGUUGGCGGGGUAAAGGCACACCAAGGCGACGAUCCGUAGCUGGUCUGAGGGGAUGAUCGGCCACACUGGAACUGGGACACGGUCCAACCCCCUACGGGAGGCAGCGGUGGGGAAUAUUGGACAAUGGGGGCAAGCCUGAUCCAGCCAUACCGCGUGGGUGAAGAAGGCCUUCGGGUUGUAAAGCCCUUUUGUUGGGAAAGAAAAUCAGCAGGUUAAUACCCCGCUGUUCUGACGGUACCCAAAGAAUAAACACCGGCUAACUUCGU
RNAcentral lists this ribosomal RNA (491 nucleotides) under uncultured bacterium. RNAcentral's name for it is "partial 16S ribosomal RNA". It matches the Rfam family "Bacterial small subunit ribosomal RNA", at positions 29 to 506 of the family's 1533-position model. The record is from RNAcentral.